UUUUUUUUCUUUCUCUGAGGGAAUUUUAGCACUCAAGUAAUCAAGUCUUUCACUCAUUUUUUUUUAGAUGAAUUAAGCAUUCAGUGUUCUUAACUUUUCCUUUCUGCUUUCUCUAGCUCUCAGGUUUUGGAAAUUUGAUUUGUUUGCAUCCUCUGUGGGUUUCAGCAUUGUGUUUAAAAUGUGGACACCAGACCUUUAUGGGAUUUCAAAUACCCACCCCAUUAGUGCUACAUACAAAGGCAUAGCAUCACACUGGACACUUUAACAGUGAGCUGCUUCUCUUGCUACAGCUUCAGAUGAAAAUGAUCCACAAGAUCAUUUGUAAGUGUCAUACCACCAAUGAAGAGCUGGACAGACCUGAUUGAAAGAAACAAGACUGCAACUUUAUUUAGCAACAAUAACUGCGUAAGAGGAUCAGGCAGACAAUUCUUGCCAACAUCUCAUCUUGCUGUUUCUCCAUGUGACCUACAAGGCAGUAAGAAUCCACUGUGGUUUGAAAGAGGCCACUGAACACUGUAAGGCCAAACCGUCUCUUCAGAGGUGGCAUUCUUUUUGUGUCAUUAUAAUGACAUAAAAUGACAGAAAUUUUGUCAUAGUUGCACACUAGAGCUUGAUCAACCAAAUCUGAGAUGCCUAAGUUGAAACAAGUUAUUUUCUCAUUAAUUUGUUUAAUUUUUGACACUUGAACAUAUUAACGUUGUCUAAAAGUCAUCUCGUUUUGUGAAUCUUCU
Long non-coding RNA from Falco peregrinus (peregrine falcon), 731 nucleotides. RefSeq lists it as uncharacterized. The record is from RefSeq and is a predicted model, not a curated record. The transcript has 3 exons. NCBI's taxonomy places the organism in Eukaryota, Metazoa, Chordata, Aves, Falconiformes, Falconidae.